GCCUGGGUGGCUCAGUCGGUUAAGCGUCCGACUUCGGCUCAGGUCACGAUCUCGCCGUUCGUGGGUUCGAGCCCCGCGUCGGGCU
Non-coding RNA from Felis catus (domestic cat), 85 nucleotides. Lineage: Eukaryota; Metazoa; Chordata; Mammalia; Carnivora; Felidae. The record is from Rfam.